ACUGAACGCUGGCGGCAUGCUUUACACAUGCAAGUCGAACGGUAACAGGGUGCUUGCACCGCUGACGAGUGGCGAACGGGUGAGUAAUGCGUCGGAACGUGCCGAGUAGUGGGGGAUAACGCAGCGAAAGUUGUGCUAAUACCGCAUACGUACUGAGGUAGAAAGUGGGGGACCUUCGGGCCUCACGCUAUUCGAGCGGCCGACGGCUGAUUAGCUAGUAGGUGAGGUAAAGGCUCACCUAGGCGACGAUCAGUAGCGGGUCUGAGAGGAUGAUCCGCCACACUGGGACUGAGACACGGCCCAGACUCCUACGGGAGGCAGCAGUGGGGAAUUUUGGACAAUGGGCAAAAGCCUGAUCCAGCCAUGCCGCGUGUCUGAAGAAGGCCUUCGGGUUGUAAAGGACUUUUGUCAGGGAGGAAAUCCCUAGUGCUAAUAACACUGGGGGAUGACAGUACCUGAAGAAUAAGCACCGGCUAACUACGUGCCAGCCGCCGCAGUAA
Molecule: ribosomal RNA, 500 nt
Filed under: uncultured bacterium
Lineage: Bacteria
Description: partial 16S ribosomal RNA
Rfam family: Bacterial small subunit ribosomal RNA
Source: RNAcentral